Molecule: ribosomal RNA, 245 nt
Filed under: uncultured bacterium
Lineage: Bacteria
Description: partial 16S ribosomal RNA
Rfam family: Bacterial small subunit ribosomal RNA
Source: RNAcentral
UACGGAGGUGGCAAGCGUUGUUCGGAAUUACUGGGCGUAAAGGGCGCGUAGGCGGCAUGGCAAGUCGGAUGUGAAAGCCCCGGGCUCAACCUGGGAAUAGCAUCCGAAACUGUUUUGCUUGAGUCCUGGAGGGGAUAGUGGAAUUCCCAGUGUAGCGGUGAAAUGCGUAGAUAUUGGGAGGAACACCUGCGGCGAAGGCGGCUAUCUGGACAGUGACUGACGCUGAGGCGCGAAAGCUAGGGGAG